This 217-nucleotide long non-coding RNA is filed under the name Capsicum annuum. RNAcentral describes it as "long non-coding RNA (CANN_LNC019754)". The record is from RNAcentral. Lineage: Eukaryota; Viridiplantae; Streptophyta; Magnoliopsida; Solanales; Solanaceae.
UCUUCUGUACCAAUAAACAAAGUUGGUAGUAAGGGCGCUAUUAUUUGCACAUUAAUUUCAAAUCAGGUGUGAUCUCAUCUCUUAGAUAGAAAUAUUCAUGCCUAAAAAAUAAAUCACAAAAAAAAAAAGAAAAAAAAAGAAAAGACUACAAACUCUGCAGUAUACAAGGCUUUGACUUACUCAAGAAAGAUUCUCCUUCAUCUCAUGCUCCAACUUU